UUUUUUUUUUAUGACUUCACACACACUUUCGCCUGCAUAGAGUCAUUCAUUCGAUCGUCCGGUAAGAGCCGCGGGUAUGUCGAGGGUUGCGAAGGCAAGGAUCUCGUGGAAGAAACUGCUCGUCAUAGCGGCUGUUCCACACCUCAUCUACUUUCCGCUUCGCUACUUCGCGACCAGACGUCAAGAACCGCCGAAGGUUGAUGCCGCCGCCUUUGGAGACUUGGACGCUCAUCCGAUGGUGCGGGGAUAAGCUCGGGGCAUACUGUUCAAGGUCGAUAUACUCAUAGGAGCCAGUCAUAUGCGGCCAUUCUCCGCUGUUGUCACGCUACUUGAAUGUUUGGCCGACGGACAACAACUCAUUGUGUGUUGCGUAGAGAUCCUGUUUAUCGAAACUAUUUACCCUAUAAAAACGAACUUGUUCAUAUUUACGAACAAUGUUGCAAGUUGACCCCGCGUUAUUCCUCCAGUUGCCUUGUUACUGAGUGUGAAAGUUUUGUCGGCCUUUUCACUCGUUUUUUUUUUUUUUUUUCUAUUGACAGCGCUAUAGAAAUGUGCAUGUAGCCAUCUAGGUGCAAUAUACACACGACUGCUCUUGUUUUGAAAUGCUCAGUUUUGAAAUCUCGUCCACAUUAUCCGGCUAUUUUGUGCGUGUGUGUUUAUCUAGAUAAGAAUCAGUUGUAUCCAUUCUCUUCUCGACUUUUGAAGGAUUGAUUUGAAAACACAGAUCAUGUUCAAUGAGGGCACGCCAUUCUGUCUUUGGAGGCCAUGUACACUUUUUGUUUACAUGCAAAUCGCUAAUUCGAGCAAUGUCUUGCUGACAUAAAGACAUGUUUUAACAACUAUUCAUAACCAUCGAGUUAUUCGCAAGUUCAAAGUUGUCUGUGCACACUGCUGAAGAUCUGAAAUUUAACAACCUAAACAGACAUCAACCUUUCAAGUGAGUUAAUAAAAUAGUUUUGCAACAAUUACCAAAUGGAACUGCGGUAAUGAGAAUGGAAUUAACACAGCUCGUCGCAAUGCCUAGGAAGGGGCAGUAGCAUGGACUCAUCUGACGCUCCUUACUUGGUCGUUUUAUGGUCAUUUCAUCAAUUACCUUUAUUCAACUUUAUGGCUUCGUAACUUCAUAAAUUUUCAACAAAUAUUUUUUAAAUAAAUUAAACAAUUCACAAUUAUUGUGCAAAUGCAUUGAAAAAAAAAACAUAAAUGCUUCAAAGUUUAAAAUAAAGAGUGUAGCUAAUGUCACAAGAAUGUCUGUAUCUAGAAAAUAUACUAAUGGAAUCUGCGUAUUACCUGUCAAUCACAAUGUGGCUGAAUGAUCGCAGUGCUAAAGCUCUUACUAGAAAAUUUUUAAGAAAGCAGUGAGUGUAUUACAAUAAACCUAACUUCUGUACCGUUCAGACUCUUUUUGUCAGGUGCUGCUUCGAGAAGCAGCUACAGCUGGUGUUUUACAACUAAACAGUUUUGAGUAAAAUGCCCUGCUCUGGACCAUUACA
Molecule: long non-coding RNA, 1493 nt
Organism: Rhipicephalus microplus (southern cattle tick)
Lineage: Eukaryota; Metazoa; Arthropoda; Arachnida; Ixodida; Ixodidae
Source: RefSeq, a predicted model, not a curated record